This 21-nucleotide non-coding RNA is filed under the name Rattus norvegicus (Norway rat). Lineage: Eukaryota; Metazoa; Chordata; Mammalia; Rodentia; Muridae. The record is from RNAcentral.
UGUUUAACCUGAGUGAGAGCU